GCGGCCUAUCAGCUUGUUGGUGGGGUAAUGGCCUACCAAGGCGACGACGGGUAGCCGGCCUGAGAGGGUGUACGGCCACAUUGGGACUGAGACACGGCCCAGACUCCUACGGGAGGCAGCAGUGGGGAAUAUUGCACAAUGGGCGCAAGCCUGAUGCAGCGACGCCGCGUGGGGGAUGAAGGCCUUCGGGUUGUAAACUCCUUUCGCUAGGGAAGAAGCCUUUUGGUGACGGUACCUGGAUAAGAAGCACCGGCUAACUACGUGCCAGCAGCCGCGGUAAUACGUAGGGUGCGAGCGUUGUCCGGAAUUACUGGGCGUAAAGAGCUCGUAGGUGGUUUGUCGCGUCGUCUGUGAAAUCCCGGGGCUUAACUUCGGGCGUGCAGGCGAUACGGGCAUAACUAGAGUGCUGUAGGGGAGACUGGAAUUCCU
RNAcentral lists this ribosomal RNA (429 nucleotides) under uncultured Actinomycetes bacterium. RNAcentral's name for it is "bacterial SSU rRNA". It matches the Rfam family "Bacterial small subunit ribosomal RNA", at positions 233 to 671 of the family's 1533-position model. Lineage: Bacteria; Bacillati; Actinomycetota; Actinomycetes. The record is from RNAcentral.